This 584-nucleotide long non-coding RNA is filed under the name Homo sapiens (human). RNAcentral's name for it is "HSALNT0294842". Lineage: Eukaryota; Metazoa; Chordata; Mammalia; Primates; Hominidae. The record is from RNAcentral.
AAAGGAUUGAAAACAAGCAUGAAUUCACAGAUUCGGGAGGUAACGGAAGUCCUGGGAACCAACCUGUCUCGUCAGGCAGCUCUGUUAACCACUCCACCCUCAGCAGAGUGACCAGAUACACGGAGACCUCGACCUGGGUGUUACAAGUGGAUUACCUCUUUGUUCUGCUACUGAAUCAUUGUAAAUACUUCGGGCAAGUAAAUUAACCUGCUGAGUUUAUUAUCUCAUGAAUAUACAAGUAAAGACAGUGAACUAAACCAGGAACUCCAGAGGAGACCUAAGGUUUGAGAAAGAAGAAUGAGUAUGCAUUCAGUUCCAUGCAGACGCAACACCGUAAUUCUAAUGCAUUUGACCAUUUCAACUUCACAGUCACACAGUAAGGUGAGCUUUCUUGCCAUUUUCCAGAUAAGGAAUUCAAGAUGCAGAGGGGCUUGGAGAUCUCCUCAGGGACACACAACCAAAUCCACAAAUCCCAGAAUCUCUUAGGUGGUUCCUGCGUCCACCAACCUUGAGAUGUAAUGGGCCAGCAAUGGUCUUUUGCUCAGAGACAGAAUCUCACUACAUUGCCCAGGCUGGUCUCAAAC